RNAcentral lists this ribosomal RNA (464 nucleotides) under Vreelandella stevensii. RNAcentral describes it as "partial 16S ribosomal RNA". It matches the Rfam family "Bacterial small subunit ribosomal RNA", at positions 339 to 795 of the family's 1533-position model. The record is from RNAcentral. Lineage: Bacteria; Pseudomonadati; Pseudomonadota; Gammaproteobacteria; Oceanospirillales; Halomonadaceae.
CUACGGGGGGCAGCAGUGGGGAAUAUUGGACAAUGGGCGAAAGCCUGAUCCAGCCAUGCCGCGUGUGUGAAGAAGGCCUUCGGGUUGUAAAGCACUUUCAGUGGGGAAGAAAGCCUUGGGGCUAAUACCCUCGAGGAAGGACAUCACCCACAGAAGAAGCACCGGCUAACUCCGUGCCAGCAGCCGCGGUAAUACGGAGGGUGCGAGCGUUAAUCGGAAUUACUGGGCGUAAAGCGCGCGUAGGCGGUCUGAUAAGCCGGUUGUGAAAGCCCCGGGCUCAACCUGGGAACGGCAUCCGGAACUGUCAGGCUAGAGUGCAGGAGAGGAAGGUAGAAUUCCCGGUGUAGCGGUGAAAUGCGUAGAGAUCGGGAGGAAUACCAGUGGCGAAGGCGGCCUUCUGGACUGACACUGACGCUGAGGUGCGAAAGCGUGGGUAGCAAACAGGAUUAGAUACCCUUGUAGUC